RNAcentral lists this ribosomal RNA (467 nucleotides) under uncultured bacterium. RNAcentral describes it as "partial 16S ribosomal RNA". It matches the Rfam family "Bacterial small subunit ribosomal RNA", at positions 28 to 507 of the family's 1533-position model. The record is from RNAcentral.
GACGAACGCUGGCGGCGUGCUUAACACAUGCAAGUCGAACGGAAAGGCCUCUUUCGGGGGGUACUCGAGUGGCGAACGGGUGAGUAACACGUGAGUAACCUGCCCUUGACUUUGGGAUAACUUCAGGAAACUGGGGCUAAUACCGGAUAGGAGCUCCUUCUGCAUGGUGGGGUUGGGAAAGUUUCGGCGGUUGGGGAUGGACUCGCGGCUUAUCAGCUUGUUGGUGGGGUAGUGGCUUACCAAGGCUUUGACGGGUAGCCGGCCUGAGAGGGUGACCGGCCACAUUGGGACUGAGAUACGGCCCAGACUCCUACGGGAGGCAGCAGUGGGGAAUAUUGCACAAUGGGUGGAAGCCUGAUGCAGCAACGCCGUGUGCGGGAUGACGGCCUUCGGGUUGUAAACCGCUUUCGCUCAUGACGAAGCUUUGUGUGACGGUAGUGGGUAAAGAAGCACCGGCUAACUACGUG